AGCACACGAGCAUCUCCUCUCUCUCUCGGCCCCGUUCUUUCGUCUCUCUCUCCCCGACCUCUCCUCUUAUCCGACCUGGCUGUGUUACCCUCACCCUAGUGCGCCGCCGCCCCCAGCCACUACCGGCGCGAACAUCAAGCCACGACUCAAUCUCUCGAUCUCGGCCACCGCAAGGCAUAGGCAUCGAACGGGGGGCGACGAAUUUACUUCAAACUUGCUCCAUGUUAUAGGCAUCGCAUUGCCGUUGUGGCCCGCCAGCCGCCAGACGGUCGGAGCAUCCCAAUCUCGUAAGACGAGUGUAUGGAGGGGAUGACCUUAAACGGCCAUCAACACGUUCUACCCGCUGGCCAAGCUGGUUGCGAUGAACAAGGGCUGGUCCUCCAGCACUCGCAAUUCUGCUUGCCCCGUUCAGCGUCAAGUGAAUAGUGCAAGAUAUACACACAAUGAAGCAUACAUAUUUGCCGAUGGUAUUUAAGGUGCUCUUCACAGUGCGGCCAUCACUUCUGUUUGCCUGUCGAAGCCCAGACGGGACUGAUGAGAAAUCAUGAUGUCCUUCUCCUCUAUGUGCAAGGAUGAUGGUUCUGGUUGUGUACUCAAUAUAUAAGGAGAGGGGAGAGACAUACGGGCUGGGAGUUCUGGAUUUGAUGUCGUCAUACUGAUCAAUUCCACCAUGCCAGACGAGAAUCCUGUCACCAUCUAUGCCUUCCACAGUCCAGAAGGACUCUAGGAACAGCACGUCGGCUGGCUCGCCAUGUCUCCUAGUGGUUCGCCUUGUGCCUCCGGCAGACCAGUAGGACCUCAGGAAGAGCACCUCACCUGACUCGCUAUGUGUCCCGGUGGCCCUUACCUCUGCACUGGCAUAUGGCCAUGGUACUGUUUGUAUUGUAUACGACAAUUUACUUCUGUGAAGGCAUCAGGCAACGGUUAUGAACCCCUCUUAUCGUGAUGGCGUGAGGUGAUGGUAACUCGAUGAUGAUGAGAAGAUUAAUAUGAAUGAAACUUUGGCCCAUGAUCUCCGUGAAGAAAUAAAUGGGUUGGGAAUUAGGUACCAUUACUGUGCACGAUCUUCAAUCUUCCACACCAGAUCUUCUAAUCUUGCAUGGCUUCAUCUCACACGCUGUUCUGAUAAUGAAUUAAAUUCAAAGACAAAUAAGUUUUGGGACUACCUACUAGCAUAUCACUUCAAUAAAUUGAGGCAUGCAUAAAAGCCACUAUAUCUUCACAGAUGAAAUGCUCAUAUCACAAUGUAUUGUAGUGAUUGACAUGAUUUGUUAGAUUUACUUAACAUUUGAGUUGAUUAGCCAGUGCACGCUGCACCGUUUGCUUCAAAAACACACGGAGCAUAUGAGUAAUUAUUAUUUUAGAA
Triticum aestivum (bread wheat) is the source of this 1366-nucleotide long non-coding RNA. RefSeq lists it as uncharacterized. The transcript has 5 exons. NCBI's taxonomy places the organism in Eukaryota, Viridiplantae, Streptophyta, Magnoliopsida, Poales, Poaceae. The record is from RefSeq and is a predicted model, not a curated record.